This 1265-nucleotide long non-coding RNA is filed under the name Homo sapiens (human). Its description in RNAcentral is "non-protein coding LINC01013:23". The record is from RNAcentral. Lineage: Eukaryota; Metazoa; Chordata; Mammalia; Primates; Hominidae.
AAAUUCUCACCUAAAGUUGAUACUAAUAUUACAAUAACUCUCUUGUGCCCUAUUUUGGUGUUUUAAACUUCUUUGCUGUACAUUUAAGAAAAUCAGAAUUUCAGUAGACUCCUCGUGCAGUCUGAGGAGGCAGUUUCCUAUCUGGUUUGACUUAAGGGGCUGCAGAAGACAUUCUUAUCCCACAUAUUUCUUCUGCUGAUCAGUCAGCAACUGAAAUUCCAACUAAUGGAUUCCAUUCUUCCAGUUAAGACAUCAUCUCCAGAAAACUGUGCUAGUUGGCAUCCAGCAGUGCCCAAGUAUUAUUUAACCCACUAGAACCUGUGACUGCAUCAGCUUUAUAUCCUGGACCUCAGCCUGGAACAAAGGAGAGCUACACUUGGAUACUAAACACAAGUGGUCUGGAUAGAUUAUGCUGGGAAAAGAAGCCUGGAGCAGGCAGUACAGUGGGAGAACAAGACAGAAGUGCUUGCCUUGGUGAUCCAAAAAAGGCAGGAUCCGGCCGGGGGCAAGGUGAUUAUUCUGUCUGAUGAGGAGAAUAAGAGCCAGUUUGUGGUAUUGACAGAAGAAUGAAAGUAAAGUCUUGAAAGAUGGGAAGAUCAGGAGCAGUCUGGAGUCAUGGUAUAUGAAUGAACUAGUGAGAGUGGGCACAAAGUCUGAAGAUCUUUGUAGUGCAGCUAAUGUCUAAGGGAGAAUAUACCUACCCUAGAAGAGACAUUAAACAACCAGGAAGCUUACUGCAGGAAAGAAAUCCCUCAGAGUCCUGAAGAUACAGCUUUCAGAACUUAGGUGAAGCAAGAGGACUCAAGGUGUGCAAGAAUGGACAGUACAGAAUGCUCUGCUACACUGCUCAGAUUCCCCCUUCAGGAAGGAAGGACAAAUUCACUCAACUUCUGGGAGCAUUGAUGGUUGAGCUCUCAGCCAUCAGACCUUUUUGGAAGUUGCCCUCUUCUGAAAAGAGGCACAUUGCCCAAGAUCUUUCCUCCUCCAGAGCGCAGGCUGCACCUGAAGUCUGAUUGAUGUGGGGUAUGAUGGUCUGGUCUCCUUUCCCCAUCUAAAGGACUGUUCUAACCUCAGGGCUCUCCUUGAGUUUCCUUAGUUAGUUCUUAUUACUAUGUUGCAGUCCAACUUCUUCUUUGGCCUAAUUCUACUUUCCUCCCAUUCCCCAAUUGUUGAUCCUGACAGCAAUUUCCCCCCAAAUUUCUGUAAACUAAGCAUGAUCUCAGAGUCACCUGACCUGCAACAUUAUUACAUACACUAUAGUCCGU